Molecule: non-coding RNA, 22 nt
Filed under: Arabidopsis thaliana (thale cress)
Lineage: Eukaryota; Viridiplantae; Streptophyta; Magnoliopsida; Brassicales; Brassicaceae
Source: RNAcentral
GUAGUAGUCGGAUUUUGGAUAC